CGGGAAUCGCCUUUGGUAACGGCUGGAUGCUCCCUGGCCUUGGUUCGGGACCAAGGGGUCGCAGGUUCAAAUCCUGUCUCCCCGACCA
This 88-nucleotide transfer RNA is filed under the name Archangium violaceum. Its description in RNAcentral is "tRNA-Pro". Lineage: Bacteria; Pseudomonadati; Myxococcota; Myxococcia; Myxococcales; Archangiaceae. The record is from RNAcentral.